GGUCACUAUACCGUGAUGCAUUGCGAUUAUUCCAAUGAAUUAUAUAUUAUUGAUUUUCCACGAGCGGGCGCUUAUUGUUCGCUUGACCUUCACUGUCAAAACAACAAGAGUGAUAAAUAUGGCGGAUUUUGUAAAGCCGAUUCACCGCCAUAAAGCUUCAGUUUUGGCAGGACACGGUCUUCUUUUGGUUCAUUGUGUAUCGUGAGAGCCUAUGCUGUUGGUUCCCAUGGGUUAUCGUACGUUCAGUUUCAAUGUCGUGAGAUUCACAUCAGAAGAAUCGCUAUAUUUGUCUCUAAAAGUUGAUGAAAUCUUCGCCGAUUGCAAUAGCCCAGCAUUGAUAGAGUAUAGAGAUACAUUCCAGUUGUGUUUUUAGGGUAAGUCGUUUGUUUUAAUCCUUAAAGCCAAUACAAAGGCAAUGUAUAUACGCAAUGGUUUUUGCUUUUUCUAUGAUUCACAUUUUUAUAGCCAAUGUUGGUAACAAUAUUUGUGCUUUCUAUUUUGAAUAUAUGCAUAUAUAGAGCUAAAAAAUAGUUUAAGUUAGAGAAGCCAAGACUGUUCAUUUGGUUUGAUCAUAGAGGUUUGAUUACUUUGGUAUUUUAUACGGACUGUUAAUUAAAGUAAUUAACCCAUUGAAUUGCAUCGAGUGGCAUUAAUUGCGCCUUGAUGCACCCUACUUUAUUAUUUUACUCUGUCUAACGCCAGAUUAUUUUACUCUGUCUAAUGGCAGCUGGCCUAUCUGCCCAUGUGCCUAGUUAACCCAUUGAGUCACAUUGUGCCCUCAUGCACCCAACUUUAAUAUUUUGCUUUGUCUAACGCUGGCACUUAAAGGGUUAAACAGAAGAUUGUUUUUUAUAUAUUGCAGUUCUCUGACCUUAGUGAUCUAAGACGAGAUGGAACAGGGCAAUCUUUUACUUUGGGAAUGUUAUUUUGUGGGAUUUCGAUAUUCUGCCAUUGCCACCUUCUCAAACAAUUCAACCUCGAGGUCCAGAUACUGUUGAUGAAGAUUUGGACAGUGUGCUGUCACUACUAAAUUUACAAGGGCAAACUGGAUAUAACUGUGAUCUACAACCAAUAAAUUCUAUGUGCUUGGUGGGUAUUAAUCUACAGUGCAGCAUUGCUGAUUGCAAAAAGUGGACCAUGGGACAUAGGGACAAAGAUGAUCCAAGAAACAAUUAUAACAGUGACUAGAUUACUAGAAUAUUGUAAAUUGAUGUUUGUGAUGUUAUUCUGAGUGUGCAUCCACACCGAGCAAGCUCAAAAGUUUGCCUGACCAUGGUGGGAAUCGAACCUGCAAUUUUUGGGAUAUUAGUCCAAUGCUCUACCAACUGAGCUCAGCUCGGUGUGGAUGCAUACUCUGAGUAACAUCACAAACGUAUUCACCCGAGUAAAUAACACCAACACACACAAGAAGUAUAUUGUAAAUUGUUGUUAUUUUAUUAUGGAUCCCUACAUACCAUAAACCACCGACUAUAAGCCCUGGGCUUAUAUACUUUCGUAAGCGAUUUUUGAUGGGCUUAUACAAGGGUGGGCUUAUAUACGGGGGGGAUCUUAUACAUGGACGACCUUUUGUGUUAGUGUAAUAGUGAUAAACAAGACUUAGUGUUAAACAAGCACAGCAAAAAUUGUGAUUAAUAGUGGUAAUAGUGAUAAAUAACAGUGAUAAACAAGCUAGUGGGCUUAUAUUCGGGGGGGGGGGCUUAGAUUUGGAAUGAGGUGAGCGUUAGUAGAUGUGGUGGGCUUAUGCACGGGGGGGCGCUUAUAGUUGGAGGUUUACGGUAUUUAUUUUAUUACGGAUCCCUACAAUAACAGUGACAUGGAUUACUAGGCUAAUGUAAAUUGUUGUUAUUUUAUUUUAUUAUGGACAAAAUUUCUCCAGAUCCAUGGAUCUUUUUUUGGCAAUAGAUAUCAACUUGAUCAAAGCUUUGUUUUCCUCAAAGGUCCAUUUAUGUUUUUUUCACUGGUGACUUCUCUGACAGAGUCAGCCUGAUCUUUCUGCUAGGAAACUACGAAAAAGUAUGUCAUUUACUAAAAUGGAAAUUGGGGCGCAGAUGACAUAUGAAUAAUCAUACAUGAAUAAUGUUACACUGCAGAAUAAUGUUACACAGAGGUAUUAAGGUGGAGUAAUACAGACAACAAAAUUGCUGCAAUUUGCAACAAAAUCUGAUUUCAACGGAUGUUAAGUGGAAAUGUUGACACAUAACUUAAUCCAAAUCAUAGAAAUGUUGACACAUGUUGCCUCGUACAUGUGUUGAAAUCAGAUUUUGUUGCAAGUUGCAGCAAUUUUGUUGCUCGUAUUUACUCCAGCUUUACACUGAAUAUACAAAGACAAUUUAUAAGAAUAAAAUAGCAAAGAAUAACAGUACAUUUAUAAGUACAAUUUCG
RNAcentral lists this long non-coding RNA (2382 nucleotides) under Paramuricea clavata. The record is from RNAcentral. Lineage: Eukaryota; Metazoa; Cnidaria; Anthozoa; Malacalcyonacea; Plexauridae.